AGGCGUAGGAAACUCUGACUAGCAGGCGUAGGAAACUCUGGCUAGCAGGCGUGGGAAGCUCCCACCUUUGCACACAGCAAUUUUCAUUUAUUUGUAACAAAUGUUUUACAUCAUGUAGGAUAUUCCUUCUACUUCACAAUUGUAUAUGUUAUGUUGGACUUUCACAUAAGAUUCAAAUAAAAUAUUAUUUUAUGUUGUUGGAUGUAAUGUGACUAAAUUUGGGAAAGUUCAGAAAAGGGCCACAGGAGGCACGGUCUGAGUUCAUCAGAGUGCAUUUAGAAGCAGAACAACACCCUGGUUGUAAUCCUGUCAUCCUCAGAUACAGAAAGGAGCUGCAGCACAAAUGAAAAGUCUCAGGGUGGGGAGGCUAGUGUCCAGUUCAGGGCUUCGCCUGUUCCUGACAGUCCUGUAUCUGCUCACAAUGAGCUGCAGCUCCAAGUGUGACAGUCGAAGUGUCAGUCCAACCAUUCUCCACCACAGAAGAAGUUAUCAAUUGCACUGUUGAACUGGAGUCAUCAACUCUAAAGAGAACCAGGGAAGCACCAAAUCCUGAACCUGGACACAAGGAGGAUUCCUCCAUGCUAUCUUCUCCAGCUUCUAGACAACCUGACACUGAUAAAAGGAGGAAAAUAGCGUUUUGGCUUUUCCUGUUGCAACUGAUUUAUGAUAAGGUUACCCAACCUGGGGAUGACAUGCUACAUCAACUCCAUCCUCCAAAGCGUCCUUACUGACCCUGAGCUGCUCUCACCCAAGAUCCCAGCUCUUCAGGUACAGCACUCCAGACAAUAAAACAUCAUCAGUGUAAAGAACACUCAGAACUGUAUGGUUUCUAGAUAUUGAAGUCAGUCGCUACUCCAACAUCAGAGAGGAGAAUAAGUCGCUUCUAUCCUCUUUUUAAAUGGACCGUCGCUGAAUAUAAUUCAGAUUUUGACGAUGACGAGCAGAAGGAUGCCCAUGAGUUCCUCAUCUGUGUUCUGGACAUAAUGAGGUCUGUGUCAUCAGAGGUUGAGCUGACAGCUGUAAACUCUGGCUUGACCUACACGUGCCCAGUCCAGGAACACAUUUCAGUUCAGAUGCUGAACAUCAGGACCUGCAGGGGAUGUGGUGAGCAGUCCUAUAGAAUGGAGGACUUUGUUAACCUCACUCUGGAGCUGGUACCAGGGGGAACGGUGGGCCAGUGUCUGCAGGAGUAUUUCAAGGGGGACCAGAUAGAUUACACGUGCCACUGUGGAGCGCAGUAGUCAUCCCUGCAGAGCUCAUUCUCCAUCCUGCCAAAAAUGUCAUCACAUCUGUGAGAGUAUCCAAAGAGGGCUGAAUAUGGGGGAUUCAGCAAACUCUUGGCUAACGGAUGAUGAUGAACAUGUCAGCCAAACAACAGGAGAAGUUGUCUGCUGCCGUAGACUAAGAAACGCUUUCCUAGUCUUCUAUGAAAACCAGGGUGCUCCUCUCGACUUACGCGGCAGAGAAGGUCGAACAACGGCUUCCUUGGACCCACGCGUCACACUGCAGGAAGGUGCCGCCACCGCCAGAGGCCGACAAAUCGCAGGACAAGAAAGAUCACACGCCAGGAUCGCCGCCAUCCACCUGAGCCACCGAGCUGGCUGUGAGGACAGCGGCCCACCACAAGUUGUUUUUUUGCAGGAAGAGGUGGGUGAAGAGCACUGCUCCGACGGAAUCACAAUAACAUUCCGGGCAGUGAUUUGAGUUGCUUGUCUCCAGAGAGAGAGACAACAGAGUUUGAGACCUCCGCAGUAUCUGGUAGCUUCUUUACGGGUCAAACGGAUACAGAGACUGGUGUUUUCCCCGGGAAACAUGCCCAAAGAUGUUGAAAUUGAUCUGAUCUGAUCUGAGUGACGAUGAUGAUUGUGAGGUUAAUGAUACAACCUGUUGACAUGGAUUUCCUUUUUCCUUCUUCGUGACUGUUCCUUGUAAUGCUUUUGAAAAUGUUCCUGUAGGUUUGAUUUUAUUGAUUUGUUUGAUGAUAUUCAUUUGUUUGAUUUGCCAUUUUACAGUAGUAUUGUCAGAUUGUUUUUUUUUUCCCGUUACAUUUUCUUUUUUAUUAUCAAUUUAGAUUUAUGCAUGAAUUAAAAUGUUUAGUUGUAUUAGUUUAGUUUUGCUUAAGCAAUGUUUUGAUAUUUGAAGUUUCAAAUGUUUUUCCUGACAUGAUUCUUUUUUGUUCUCACUGCUUGAUGAAAGAAAUGGAGUUUUCUCAUACCAAAGAUCACUGAUUUAUGCAAUUUUUGUUUAUUACAGAAGGACAGACCUGGGAUCUGAUUGGCUCUAAAGAUCCUUUAAUACUAGCUGGUAAUGGUAACUCCUAGAUUCAACACGGGGUUUUCUGGCUCAGAUUGGCCGAGAGCAGAUCUCCCUGGGGGUCUCACCGGUUUUUACUACUCUUGUGGGUAGCGUUUUCUGGUUGUUUCCCCGCCCACACUGAACCUCUCCUGCUUUUGCUCCUGGUUUGGUAAGUUUGAGGAUGGUGGAUGGUUAUCCAUCGAAGUGGUGAGUGGAGGAUCAAGUAGGAGGGUUUUCAGGGUGGGGAGAGGGUAGACGGAUUCGACCUUAAUUAGUAUACAGGCUUAGCUUAAGUAGUCUAAUAUACAAAAAUAAUCUGUGCAUAGGGACCUAAAACAGGCCUUACUUAAUUAGUUGAACCCUAAAUUGUAGGUGAAUGCUAAACCUUUGAUCUUGUGUGUUAAAACUCCAUGAAGCAUUCAAGCUGAUCUUUAUUGAAAGUUCCAGCACACAUGAUUUGUAACUGUUAUGAGUCCUUGGUGUUGUAUUUGCAUAUUCCUGUAAUGAGUUAUCUUGUUUUUCAAUAAAUACUGUUUGUCAAUAAAAGUGCUGGAACUUCA
Molecule: long non-coding RNA, 2855 nt
Organism: Fundulus heteroclitus (mummichog)
Lineage: Eukaryota; Metazoa; Chordata; Actinopteri; Cyprinodontiformes; Fundulidae
Exons: 10
Source: RefSeq, a predicted model, not a curated record